GCCUGGUUGUAAUGAAGUCAGUGUAAACAGGAAAAGGAGGACGGUUGAAGAUGGUGAUGAGGGUAGGUUUUCCUUGAAAAACACAAAGUGAGGCGAAGUCAAUCAUGUUCCUGAGAAUCCAGAAAACUAUGAUGAUGAUGCACUAGAAGACCAAAGAUGUGUCCUGGUGGAUGCAAUGAAAAAGUAGACAUCUGACAUUGCCCCGCAUCGGAGGUGUCUGUUGAAGGGCUACCAAUAUUUGUUCGAGACAAUUCAAAGAAGCUUUUCCUGACAUGCUUGGACACCGAUUUAGAUGAAAGGGAGACCAAAGGUGUCAAGAUGGGUAUCCUCACUGUCCUCGGAGAUGAUGAUGCAUCUGCCUCUCUGCCCACAGACAACAGUAUUGCCAUCGUGCUGGAAGAGUCCAUUGUCCUCGCAGAUCUCCCAGACUUCCCCACUGCAUUUGCCUAUCUUUUCGGCCUGGUUUAUGCAUUGAACAUGGAGUUCCCCAAAGACCAAAAGUACAUAUUUGAAACUAUUCAACACAUCUUAAUGGAGUUUCUUACAGCAUGUCAGGAGCAUGAAAACUAAGCUAUUGCUGUCAUAAGUGCUUAGGUUGGAAGCUGGUCUUUUUUAUUUUUCAGUUUUAUUGAUUGGCUGGCUGGCCUGAUUGGCCUAUCUGACAUUUCA
Scophthalmus maximus (turbot) is the source of this 669-nucleotide long non-coding RNA. RefSeq lists it as uncharacterized. The transcript is spliced from 3 exons. Lineage: Eukaryota; Metazoa; Chordata; Actinopteri; Pleuronectiformes; Scophthalmidae. The record is from RefSeq and is a predicted model, not a curated record.